Molecule: ribosomal RNA, 1158 nt
Filed under: Triticum aestivum (bread wheat)
Lineage: Eukaryota; Viridiplantae; Streptophyta; Magnoliopsida; Poales; Poaceae
Description: partial small subunit ribosomal RNA
Source: RNAcentral
AUGGCCGGCGCCGAAGGGCUUCCCGACGACCUCCUCGGGGCGAUCUACCACCGCUGCUCCUCGCCGUACGACCGCGCGCGCUUCGCUUCUGUCUGCAGGUCGUGGCGCGCCGCUGCGUUGGCAUGGCACACGCCGCUGCCAGCUCUCCCGCUGCUCCUCCCAUCGACGGGCAACGGCCAGUGCGACCGGAUGACUCGGGCAUACAGCCCUGAGGAUGGCAGGGUCCUGGGCGCUCCGCUGCCAUACUUCCCUUAUGGCAAGAGGAUCGUGGGGUGCCAUGACGGCGGCUGGGUUGCCGCCACCAUUGGCUGCAGGGUUGUGGUCGUGAACCUCUUCACUCGUGCCCGGUUGAUGCAAAGGGACUUCAGAUGUAGAUGCCCAACCGCUCCAGGAAGGACCGACAAAAUCUCCCUCGACAAAGUCGUCUUCUCGGAUGACCCUGCCACAGAAGGCUGUAUCAUGGCCGCGAUAACGAGCAAGUGUACAAUACUGCUCUGCAGGCUUGACUGUAAGGGCGCCAAUGGGUGGAGCACGGGAGGAUGCGGCACGGCCAACAUUCCGAACCCUGUAGACAUCACCUUCUACAACGGAGAGCUCUACGGCCUCUCGUAUGCUGGAUUUUUACACAGGUUCACCAUCGACCGAAACAAGUAUGACCCUUACGUGGUCAAUUGGCACUGUGUCCAACAAGUAACCACGGAAAGGCCCAUCGGGCAUGGCGGCACCAAAUACAUCUUUGAGCUACGUGGCAACCUAGCCGUAGCAGUGCCAGUCAGCAUUUGCAAUGCUCAAACUUUUAAGGUGUUCGAGCUUGUCGCCUGUUGGGACAGUACAAAAGGGUCAUACUACACAUGGGUUGAGGUGACGAACUUGGGGGACCACGCCUUGUUCCUAGGGCCAGGAUGCUGCAAGGCGGUGCAUGUGUCAUCAAUGGGGGUCAUGCACGGUGUCGUACAAGCGAACCGUAUCUACUACUCAUGUCCCGGAAGCUGCGUGAACCAUUUUGCUACGUUGGAUCUAGGUAGUUGUAAAGUGUAUUGUUCAGGAAGUGACAACUUGCAAUACUCCGAUAGAAUUAUCUCAAAGGGAUACCAUUACUACACAUACGGUACUAGUUGGCAGAACAGUUGUACAUGGGUUCUCCCUCCAGACUUUUAG